UAUAGCCAAGUUAUAGACGUGGGUUCUAAGAAGAUUAAGUCGCUCCAGUUCCAGCGACGUACUGGGGGGAGUGUCACAUCUCUGCGGAUUGUGUCGAACCUCACUCUAACACCUUGGCGUCGCGAACUGUCAUGAGAAUAGGUAUAUAGAAACAAAAGGUAAAUAAAAACAUUUUAUGAGUCGAAGUGAUAGGAUUGGAAAGAUAAUUGAAUAAACUGAUUGCCUUUAGAACGAAUAACGAAGUUGAAAUCAUAAAUAGGACUAGACUGAAUAGGUUGGAAAUUGUAGCAGAGGACUAAACGGAUUUUUUACCGACUGACAAUAUACGUUAUCAAACCGGAAAUAGCGACUUUUUCCAACAAGUACUGAAAAUGGCGGACAACCAUUCACAAAUAUCAACAACGCAGCACUGACAUUCACAAUCGUUGGGUAGUACCACACUCGCCUUAGCUGAGCAAAACAUUCAAUGCUCAUACUAAUGUUGAGUUCUGCAAAUCGAUGAAGAGCAAUAAAUACAAUUGCAAGUACGUGAAUAAAUGAAGCAAUAUGGCUGUGUUUCAAAUGAGAAACACAUGAAAUUUAUCAGAAUACCGAUGUGAAUUCUCCUCGAUGAAAUGACAACGACGGAAUAAUAGGAAUAGGAAUAGGAAGAGUCUAAGGCCCUUUUCGGGUUGAAAAUUCGUUCGACAGUCCUGGUGCAAUAAGCGUAUCGUUGUGAUUGUCUUGUCACACAAUGCACGAUUGGAUGCUACUGAAAGGCAUAGUUAGCCCUCAAUAUAGAACUGUUGAAGUGCACGAAGAACACUAAGUCCUUGGGCCUGUUCACGAACGUCACUCCACGGUGAAAACGAAGUGAAUUGUAUACAAACCUUAUUACGGCUGUCACCGUGUGUGUAGAAUCCAGAAGAGUUCAUCCGUCGUGACAACUUUGAUGAACUAGGUGUUCUUAUGGAUACCACGAUACUGUCAUGUCACGGAGAAAAACAGGUAUAUUUGUUACUUGUGUUUUAGAUGGUGAAAGCUAGUCACGCGGAAUUGAGUAAGUAUAAUUUUGUAUUUAUUUAGCUUUUUUGCUAACAUUUUGGAUCUUGUGUUGUGUUGUUUAAGAAACAAAAGAUAAACAAACAGCAAUUUACCCGCCUGGUGGCAUUUUCAGAACGAAAUUCUGACGUAUCCAGAGGUAAAUUUGUUUAUUUGUAUUCGGUAAAUGCGCUAUGGGAUGUAAUUAAGGAUUAAAAAUGUAGUUCCCGUAGGCCCAUUGAAACAUAGCGGAGGUCUACUUCCGAAUGUCUUGAAUGAACAGAAAUUGUUUGUUUCUAUUUUUAGGAUUGGACUAAGAGAGAGUUGCAACACCAUAAAAUGGCAAUGGAGGCCACUGGUCCAAAUACGAUCAUGAUUGAUUAUGGCUAGUUUUUUGUUGUUCAAACAUUCACAUUUGGUGGACCAGACCAAAAUCAGGACGAUAGUUAUAACUUCUUACGUUAUAGAUAUUUUCAACGGUAUUGUUUUGAAGACAUACUUUGAAUGAAAUAAUAUGAAAAAAGUGAUAAUAAGUUUCAAACAAGGAAAAAAUAAGUCAAAGCAUUCACAAGAUACUGUUUUAAAAUUCUUCUCUAGUUCUUUUACCAUAAUUUUGAUAUCCGUCUAAAGAAUCGCUUUCCGUUUUUUUCAAAUUCCUUGAAACCCAUCAUAUAUUUUCUAUAAGGAUUAUGCUCCUGGCCGACGCUGCUGACCAGUUUCUGUUCAAAUAAUUAAAUCAAACCUCAUGUCCCGUAUAUCAAAUUACACGAGAAUUGGAAGGAUAAGAUGAAUAAACUUCAGAAUCCCAUAUGGAAGUAGCUCAGAUUAUACUGAUCGUGAGGUGGAUAAAUUCGGGUUUGUUCUGAGAUAUAGAGGAUAUUAUUAUUCAUCUAAAUUGUAGAAACGGUUCAUAAAAAAUAAUUCUAAAUAUUUCUCACUAUUAAAACGAGUAAGACAGAGCUAAGUACAAGAGUAUGCGAAAUUUCGAUUAUUAAACAUAAUAGUCAUGUUUUAUCUCUAGCGUAGAAUUACAUUCCCAGAUGUUCAACAACUACAUUAUUCCCGAGCAACCAAGUAUUCCUCCUCAUCUUUGAGCCAGCAUUUGAUUCAGCAAACUAAUCAUCGAGGUAUAAUCGCAAACUUGUCUUUCUAAAAUAUUCGAUUAAUUAAAUGGAAUAUUAUCUCAUACGCUGUAUUAAUUUUACCUGCAUAACGUUCAAACGUCCGAAAUUAUGCAACCGACAGAACGUUCAAACACCCGACAUUAUGUUAUACCAACAUGUCUCUUAUAAACGAGAAUGAACACUUUCUCUUCACGGAGUUCAUUUUUACACGCAACUGUCCGUGACAAUGAUGAUAGACAAAAAAGAUUAACCCUCCUGUACUCGCGUGCAAAAUCAUAACACGUAUACUCGCGUACGGUGUCACAGACCGAAAAUCGAACUUCUCUGUAAUGUUGCCAUUGUGUAUUUUUCAGGCUUUGUUGGCAUUUAUUUGAAGAAGAGGGUAUGAUUGAAUGAAAAAACUCCAAAAAAUAUGUUUUCUUCGUCUUUAUUAUGUUUAAAAGUCAUCUAAUUCAGCCUCCUCAAAAUAGAGUAAUUUUUGAUACUCCAACACAAAUAACGAGAUUAGAAUUUUUUACUGUUAUUAAUUAGAAGUAAGCAACUGAAAAUAAUUCAUGGAAGUAUAAAGAGCUAUAAAAUAACAUAAAAACGUAUUAAUCGAUUGUGGUUUCAUUGGUGUGAGAAUCAGAACAUAGCAUAAAUGCAUGCUCGAAACAAACAUAUUUUUUACAUUUCAUGCAGUUGUUGCAUGUUUUUCUGCUCUUUUAUCGAAGAGAAGAAUGUAUGACGACCUAAUUAUUAGAUGGUAAAGAUUCUGGAAUAUAAAGUUUGCAUAUUUCUAAUAUUCUUUGUCUCUGUUUUCUUAGUAAACUAAGAAUUAAUGCCUUUUUUUAGAUGGGGCAUUAAAAGAUGAUAUAAAAGGAUUUCUUUUCCUUUUCUUUUUCUUGUUUUCUUGUCGAUAUUGUCCAUUAUCAAAAAAAUAUCCCCGAAACUGUAACUGUUAAAAAUAACCAUGAGCUACCGAUUAGUUUAUAGUUUACUGUUUACAAUUCUUCCACAAGUGAAAUUCUUUCACAAGUGUGUAUAUGUAUGACCAUUAUAUUUAGCGAAUAACUAUACGAAAGUCAAACAUUUAUAUUUUGCUUUUGAACGUAUAAAUCGAACGACGAAUAAUUAAUAUAUGGAUCCGUUCAAUACAGAUACAAAAGGGACUGAAAUCAAAUAAGAAUAGUCCGGUAAUGAUCUUACGCAUUAUAUUCAAUAAAUAUUCCACGCCACUAACAUUAAUUUAUACAUUUCAUUCAACAAUAUUCUAGAAUAUGAAAAAUGGCACUUGUCCAAAAAAGUUACUCCUAUACUCGCGUCGGUGUGUCAGACCGAAAGUGUUAAAAAAGUAGCACACGUCCCCAUUGUACCAACACAUGCGAUACGCUAAACGAUGACCAACGACGAAUAACGAAGCUAGAGAGAAUCGCAAAAUCGUAGUGUUGAUAUUUUCUGAGAAAUGAACGAAUUAUUAAUUUCUCGGUCUGACAGACCAAUUCGCGAGUAUAGGAGUGUUAAGUGAAGUGUAAGUGACGUGAAAGCGUACGUGGCAGUGAUGUUCAUGAUCAGGCGCCUUACCUCUCUCUCCUUGAAUGCAGGACAUAUCUUAUAAACAGCCCCAUUAUUACUUGGUAUGUGCAUUAUGAACAUUAACCCAAGCUGUAAAAAAUAUUUUUUUAACAAAAGUCAUUGGUGUAAUUUCGAUUAUUGGCGUUACAGAAACCCCAAUCUUCAAGAAUUUUUUUUGUUAUUCCAUUUUCCGGAAAGUGACAAAAAAUCGAAAAAUCGUCAAACAAAAACAUUGGCCAAAACCUACUUUUUUGUUCCUGUAGGAGUUUCAAUCCAAUUGUUUUUUUCCUACAACACAAUGUGUGAUCUUUUAUCAAAGUAGAAAAAUUUACAUAUUUUUGAACACUAUGAGGUAUAUACAUUUGUAAAAACAUUUGACGGAGCACCUGCAUUUUUUAAUCAAUUAAACAAAUUCUAUUUGCAUUGCCGUUACCCAACUGGGAACAACUUUAUUUCGGUUGCGCGUCGCAGUUACACGACAUCUGACCCGGAGUAAACAAGAUAAAUCACUUACAUGUUGGUUAACAUGUUGAACCCCGCGUCGAUCCCUACCGGGCCGACGCUGAGCUUUUCGGUAGGAAAGCGCUGAUUAACUGGGAUGAAGUUUCAGUUUCAAGAAAAUAAAAAUAUAUAUGGUUAGUUUUUUUAAUGUUAUACAAAAUGUGACUACUUUCUAGUCGAAUUUCUGACUAUUUUUUUUACAAUAAGUAUCUUCGGGAGCUGGGACCGACACUGGUAUGCAAACUUUCCGGCGAUUUUCAAUCUUUACAUUUUGUAAAUGAAUAACUGUGAACAAUGUUGUUGGCCACUUUGCUAAGGAAAACCAUAAAUACGGCGAAUGACAGGGCGACGAACGAUAUCGGUUGGAAAUUAUAUAGUUAAGGGUAACACUAACAGUACUUGGUUGCUAAUUUUUUGUAUAGUUAUAGUUUUGCAAGUAUGCAUAUUAUCAUGCAUAUUAUCAGUAUGCACAUUAUCAUGCAUAUGCAUAUUAUCAUGCAUACCGAUAUCAGAAGAAAUAAGGUAGCUCUCGUUAAAUACAAUAUUCUAUCAGCCAUUCCAUACCAAACCGAUAUAGUGGAUUAACAGAUUUCCAUGAAAAGUGGUAGUUUUGUUCUUUAUUGCAAAAUAUUCGACCGUAUUUUUUUUAAUUUUUUCAUUAGGGUGACCAUUUUCAUUUUAGACAGCAAAAAAACAACUACAAUCGAUAAUUAUGAAAACAAAAUCCAAUUUUUCGGCAAGUUCCUCCGGCGAGUCAAAGGUUCCAUAAACAUACUCGAAGAUGUCAAAGCGAUGAGACAGCAACGAAUCCUAUCCAGACUGAGAACCGUCCAGUGCAACAUGUCUCAACAGGGGACUCUUUCAUCCCCUUUGUGAUCUAUGCGAGACCCGCAAUUCGAUUGAACACAUCGUCUGUAUUUACCCGAAGUACGAAGUAUCUCUGAAACUUAUACGGCCAGGACCAUUCGUGAUAUGCUUGGCGAUGAUCCAUCGUGAAUUCCUGCACUGCUCUGUUUUUUUUAAAUAUGCCGAUUUGUAAUUUAAAAUCUAAACAAAAACUGGUGUUUCUUCUCUUUCGCGAUAAGGGGAACAAUCUUCGUCGGCAUCUUCGAACGGCGCGGAUUUCCUAUCAGUGGCCUGGGCCGUGGUAAGCGGACAUCCUCGUCAAACAACCAGGGAGAACAAAUCAAGAAUGUAAAUGUGUGGAAACUCUCGUGAUGAAAUUUGUUUUUUUUUUGUUUAUUGUAUUAUUGCUUGAAUGUAAAGUUGGGGUUCUGCUAGAACGAACCAAGCGCCAAAAACAAUUUGAAGUUCGGGCUCCCACUAAUUGACCGUGUCUGAUCAAAUCUAUUAUUUUAGCGCUCACGUGUUACAAUCAGAAUGUCUUCAAUGCACUGAGACUGUAAAUAUCUGUAAAACAACACAUAAAUAUUGAAAAAUAACUUACUUUGGUAAGCAUGCACUCAGUUCACAUUGAGAGAAUGAAAAUGAAAGAAUAUAAUUUUAAUUUCAGUGUGGUUGGAUGUAUUUUUAGUCUGAAUCAUUACUAAAAUAAUAUUAUUAAAAUUAUUUAGAAAAACUUAAGAUUCUUCGUCGCUGAUCAGGUCGUUACCAAUAUCAACAUUGUUUUGAUUUGAGCUUCAUGAAGAAUUCAUGGUUUAUAGGAGGUACAUAUUUCAUCAGAUGUUGAAUGUCGUUGUACUUCGCAAGAAAAAUUAUGUAAAAGUUCCAUUUUUUUGCUCUAAAUCUAGUACACUGAAAAUAUUAACUUGAAAAUGAUACAUAAUACUGAAACCAAUUCGAUUUGAGUUCGAAUUUUCUCGAAACGAGUUACACGAUUCGAAAUGCGCAAUGCCACCCCAGAAUCAUGAAAAAUGUGAAAAACUAAAUUAUGUCGCCCACACAAAUCUUCAAUAUAUUUGCAGCCAGAGCGAACCAACUAUCAUGCAUGCUAACUAUCAAUAUAAUAUUAUCACACAACACGUUAGUAUUUUGUAACGGAUCUUGAGUAAUUUGAUAAAUAGUAUAAGUUACAAUAUCGGACGGUGGACGUUCUUCUUAAAAAAGGUUCACACCUGCUUCUAUCGGAGUCUAAAUACAAACUGCUUUUAUUUAUUGCUCGGAAAUGGAUUUACAAUGAAAAUGCUUAUUCUACAAAAACCUACACCUGGCGACAAAUCGAUCGGACGAUCGAUAGCGCUUACCUAGCUCAGCACAAAAUGUGUACUUUGGUGCCCUCGUUCGAUGAGGUAUUUAUGUCAGCAAUAUUUAUAUUUUGGUGCCAUGUGUAUCUGCGUGUGACUUAUAUAUGGUCGGUGUUAAGUCAGACCGGGCCAUGUGAUAUUUUUAUGAUUUCGAGAAAAAUGAGUUUUAAGUUUGGUGCUAUGAGGGGUUUUCAUUGAGCGUUCAAACCAUUUUCGAGUGAUUUUUCAAAUCUGAUGAAUGUGGAAUGAAGCUUACAACAUGUGUAGCCUAAUGCGAUCAAUAACUCGAUUUUUUUUUAAAUUUUGCGACUUGGUCCGCUCUGACUUAACACCGACCAUAUAUUGACUCACUUUUGCUGUUUUUGACAAAAUAAUAUCUUAAUAAAUGAAAAUAAAUUAAAUUAAAAAUGUAUUAUACAUGGCUGAUCGCGAUUUUGAAAAAUGCAGAUCAGCCUUAUUAACAUGAUUUUACACUUUAGGGCAGCCUUGACUAUCUUACUUACCACAUCACAACGAUAACUGUUCCCAAGAGCUGUUCGAAACAGGAAUAUCCGGAUAAGUAGGAAAAAUUGUCUUUUUGAAGGAAACUAUCACUAUCCUCCGAUGCAUGUUGUUGGUUUAUGGUUCGCUCUGUUUGAAUGCAAAUUUGUCUUUUUCGCAGCCUGCUACACGGAAUUUUUGUUUUGAAGCUGUUAUCAACUGUCCGAAUGAAACGGUUAAUUUAUUGUCGAUAGAUUAUCAGUUGCUGCAUCCAGUGGUGUAAGUAGCUGAGUUUUGAAAAAAUUGACGCUUGAUUCAUUCUGACAGAACCCUGACCAAUUAAUGUUCGAAAUAAAAUUAUUGUAAGCGCACAUCGCGGCACUGUUUCGGUCGUUUUUGAUGAGAAAUCAGCUUAUAGGCUGAAAGUCUCAAAAAAAAAAGAAUGAAAAAAAAUUAUUAUUUUUUUCCGCUCUUCCGUUUUCAGGAAAAUGACAAAAAAAACCAAAAAACCGCCAAAUAAAAACAUUGGCCAAAACCUACAUUUUUGUUCCUGUAGGAGGUGUAAUCCAAUGGUUUUUUCCUACAUCACAAUGUGUGAUCUUUCAUCAAAGUAAUACUGUAGAAAAGUAUUUUAUACUACUAGUACUGUAUUAGUAUUUUAUAUUUUUUAUAUUUUAUAUUUUAUAUUUUAUAUUUUAUAUUUUAUAUUUUAUAUUUUAUAUUUUAUAUUUUAUAUUUUAUAUUUUAUAUUUUAAAUUUUUGAAUUUUAUAAGGCUUUGUUUUUGUAAGGUUAUGUGAAAUUAUGUACUUUCACACAUAGUUGUUUCGAAUCGAAUUUAUUGCCCAAUAAAUUUAUACAAAAUUGAACCAAUUGACAGUGAGUGGUAGCUAAUAAACUAAGCCCAAACUAUAUCAUAUUAUGGUUGCUUUCCAAAGCCAUGAAAAUUUAUCAAAGUUGCUGGUCGAUUUUUCGAACGCUAGGCACAAAGGGGGUUAACAGGGCGUGCGUUAACACGUUAAGCCCCGCGUUGGUUCGUAGGAACCCACAUUGAGUUUUUUGUUAGAGAAUUGUUGAUCUCUAACUCUCUCUCUAACUGACAGUUACGAAGUAAGAAAACACAAAAUAUAUGGCUUUGUUUUAGGAUGUGUAACGAAUUGUGACUACUUUUUGUGGAAUCUCUGACUACAGUAGAACCUCGAUUAUCCGCGAGCGGAUUCGCGGAUUAUCCAGAUACGAGUUCCAUAGUAACUAUAUAGGUACUUGCUCUUUUGUUUUGAUUAUGGCUUCCACAUUAUCUGAACACUGGUGUACAAGAUCUUACAGAUGGAUAGUUUGAUGAUUUCUGUAUUGAUAAAACAUAAUUUUAAUGCUGAUAUAUUUUAGUCUUUCAUCACGUUAUCCGCAAUUUUUAUUAUUCGCGGAUAAUCGGGGCUCUACUGUUUUUUUUUGUUUUAUAUACAAUAAAUAUAUUUGGAAGAUGGGACCGACAUUUUCAAAGCGCUUUUGAUGCGAGCUGAAUGAAAAGCGAGAACUUUUCGGAGCUUAGUAUGUUAACUAGGCUGUCGUCCAUUUAUGUAUCAAUAAUAGACGCUAUAUUCCAUUUGCAGUUUUGCAGUUUAUUUUGCAUUGAUUUUUUCGCCCAGUUGUGUCGAUUGGACAUAGACAUCAGGCGACAUAGGCAUCAUAGGAGGAAUAGUGACUUGCUUGUAACAGAAGGAUGUCAUCACGAAUAAGAGAAAAUAAUAUAUUAAUCAAAUAAAUUGCUUUAAAUGUAUAUUUGAACUGUGUCUCUAUAACACAGGAUUUCGGAAACCACCAUAACACUGAUCCGAAAAAUUGAAAGCGCAAAUAGUAAAUCAUCCAAAACUAAUUAUUCUUAAGAAAAAUUCAUGCUAUGCACAGAAAUGGUUGCUCUAAAAUGCUUCUUCUUUUUGCUGCACGAGCCAAACCAAAUCUGCUUUAAUUUAGAUACAGUUUUCUUAAAAGUAAUAUCCAUCAUUGUGGUUAGUUUCAAGGCAGUUGUUUCUUAAAAUAAUUGGUUGUGUAGAUGCUGCAAAUUCGGUUAGAAUUAUGAUUUUUGGAGGAAGUAUUCUUCAAUAUCAAACUUAUUCACCUACCCGAAACAUUCGAAGUGAAAUACUCUAAUUUAAAUAAAAUAUCCGGCCUGACGAAUAAUGUUAAAAUGAACAGAAAUCCCGAACGCUAGAUCUAUUUUAAUUCACCGAAAUGUCUGAAAAAUAUAUCGCAAAAUUUAAAUAGAUUGAAAUUGAUUAUACUAAUACGUUGCGUUUCAUGCUCUCUGUUGGACAUAUACCAUUUGCUGCAACAUGCUACUUAUGUCAAGCAUUCUACCCCUAACGAAACUUCUCAAAGUUGUCGUGUUCAUGUUCUGAAUUGCAUUUUUUAAAAUUCUAGCUAUUGAGGAACUAACUUACAACAAAAAUUUACAAUUUGUGAACGUGCACUUACUCUGGUGUUGCUGACAUGGGUAGCAUGUAUUUCAAGGUUGGUAGUAAUUUUUGAUGUUGAUUUCUAGAGCUACCUUCUCUGGCAUAUUAAUAAAUCGAUAUACUUCAUCAUGUUUUCUUUGUAUAUAUUAAUCACAGAAAUAUUUUAACAUUAUGGUUUCCUCAAAUCAAACGGUGUUCAUUUUUUCACAACGGACAAAAUUAAGUUUGUUGAAAUUAUUCAUCUACGUCAUUAUGUUCAUUAAACUGCUUAGCGACAUAUUAUCCCUUUCGUGGCACGGAAAGAAAUAACUAUUUAAAUAGAAUCUAUUUACAUGUAUUAUAUUACUAUGGUAUUCAAAAUAUAUCAAAAAUAAUGAUCCAAUUGUAUAAAAACAAAUAUAAGCAUGUUAUAUGAAUGACGAGUAUUGAAACUACAAAACCUUUUCGCCUGAGUGCGCAUGACAUAUCAAAGAUAGAGAAAAAAUCAAAUCAUAUUAUCUAUAUGAAGAAACAGUACUAUUCCUACUAUUUGAAAUGGAAAUGAAAAAUUUAGAAGACGUACAAAUUGGGCCUACCAUGUAUAAACCUAACAAAUCAGUACAUGUUCUCUUAAAAGCUAUGCUAAUUGUAUAGAAACCCCAUUUCUGGAAUAAGAUUGCUGUUGUUUCUGCUCCUUCUUGAUACUGUUGCCGUUUUGCAUGAUUGAUUCACUACUGAAGUUCUUUCAAAUGUAAUUGAUUGUGCAUGUUAGCAAAACCAACUUCAUUAAGGUUUUCAGAAUUGUAUUCCAUUUAAUGAAAGAAUCAUGCAGUACAAAUAUCCAAGAAUCAAUCUCGCCUUUUAUUUGUGUUGAUCGCAUAUUUUCAAUAAUAGCAGAAUAACUUCACUGUACUCUUCAGUAUGAUUUGUUCAAAUAUAGUGCCUAUUGUGUAAACUUAUGUCCCGUUUACGUUUAUAUGAAUCAUUACUACUUAAUAAAUAAUCAGCCAUUGUUAGUACUGACCUGCAGAUGCUGUCUAUUCCACCCAUUCCGCAAGACCACGGGCAACCAAUUCUUUGUUAAUAAAUAAUACGUUCUGCGGAAGAAAAAGGCAUAAUUACAACAUGUUACCAUAAUUACUUUGAUUGAUUGUAAAAAUUAUUCUCAUAUACCGCGAUACGUGACCAACAAAACUGUCACAGUAAAGUGACUGCAUCUUUUCUGAUUGUUUAUAUAUUCAUAUUCAUAUAACCAUUGUAUGCGUAACGUUAUAGAGCAGUGGUGGACAAUUACGAGCAACUAAUUGUUCAAAUGUUAGGCUGCAGUCUAUCAUCGUUGACUGUAUCAAAAUGUCAUUAGAAAAUGAAUGUAAAGCGUGUUCGCGAUAAAAUCUGGACAGCUCAAUCUUAGAAUAAAGCGAAUUUGCUAAAAUUUAAUCCAUGAAACAAUUUUAUUUCAUUUAUGUGUGUAUCGUUAACAAUCAUAAAUUACCAUUACUCUUUUGGUCUGCAUGAAAAGUUGGCGAACUUUAGAGUUUAGCCCAGGUCAGUGCAGACUUGUUGGCCACAAAUUUAGCUGCGUUUGCCCAAGAUUUUCAAAAAAAAUCUAUAAUUGUUUCUUGUUAUUUGCGCUGGGACAGCUCUCUUUUCAUUAGAGCCCAAUACCGCUUGAUGGAACGUAACUCUGGGCAGUUGGAUGAAUUUGCCUCCUUCGGUAUAAUAUGGACUCCAUUAACAUCAUACCAUUCCAAAACAUCCAAAACAUCCAUUUGACAGGAUGCCAAAUCAGGCCAGAACAGUGAAGGUACAUCAUGGCUGCAUAGGAACGGUAACAAUCUGCAGGCAUUCUUCACGGCAGAUUUCCUUGUUAACCGUUCUUCUUUUGCUUGAUCGACCACAGCUGCAUAUGACCUGCCAAAUUAAUAUUUUUGGGGAACUUGGCAUCAGGGCUCGAAAUCUUCGAAGGUGAAAAAUGAAAACCGACUCUACUCCCAGUAGCUUCGCUUCGACUAGAACUGCUUCGGCAGUCGCCGCAAACAAAAAAUGACUUGACUAGAAAAUGAAUUGACUAGCGCUGACUAGCGAGGAUGACUGGUGAACUAGUCCAGUCAGUGGUUAUUUUAACUGACUCGACUAAUGAAUACAAAUCUGCCUCUUCAUUCAACUGACUUCAAUCCACAUUCCCAUUUCCCCCUGAUACUAAUUUUGUACACGCGUACGCAUGUCCAUAUAAAGAGGAACGAAAAUUUGAUUCCUGAUGCAAAAAAGUAGUUACCCCAUCAAUGGGCGAUUUUUUUUCUACCCAUCGUGAACUCAAACCAACGAACUUAGACAUUUAUCAAGUAUGCUAUAAAGGUCCUCGCAUUAGUAUUAGUUAGUAUAAGGCGUGCAAAAUAGCGCACACGCACUGCACGCUAUUUUAUACGUGUGAGUAGUUUUCGUGUACGCUACAAAAAAAUCUAGCUCACCUCUAGCGUUUGUCAAACCACGGUGAACUCAAACAUCGAUGGAUGCAAACGUGCAUGGGAGGGAGAGAGAGAGGAACGAAUUCGUUUUGGGGGAAGCCACUUCAAAAUGCAAUGAGGACAAUUUGACUGGGAAGAAUGGAAUGAUAUAGUCGAAUCGGUAGAGGGAGAUAGCGACUAAACGCCCGACUGACUGUUCAGUCGUUUUGGCGGAGAAACUGCGUGAAGAGCCAAGUCAUUUACCGACUGACUAUGGAUAUAGUACAUUAUUCAAUAAAAUAAAAAUAAUUAUCGGUUACUAAAUAAUUGAUAAAUAAUACUUUAUUUUCUGUUCUGUCUCAUCAAUCAAUAUCGUUGAUUCUUCACGGAAAUUAUCGUUUAUAAACUAGGAUUGGGCGAUCUGGGAUCGAUCUUUUACAUUCCGAUUUCUGAUUUUUUGGAUCGGUCUUUUGUACCCAAGAAAAUCGAGGAAAUCGAUUUUUUCACUUUCGAUCUUUUCGAUCUUAGAAAAACUUUUUUAAAUUUGUUUUUCAAUAAAAAUCGAUUUUUAUCUCACCAAAGGACAACUUACUUUUUUUUAAACAUAAUGUCAACAUUUGGAUCGCUUCUUCUACAAUUUAUUUCUGUGAAUGAGUUCGGUGCGGCAUCGUUCUGGGCUGUUGUUGAAUAGCGGUUGUUGAAUCUAGUAAUGCUUUUUCAAUUUGCCUGACGGGACAAGAUGAAUACAUCAUGUCCUUCAUGCUGGGGAACAAAACAAAAUGCUUUUGAUGUAUGAAUUGAAAUAUCAAAUUUGUACUCCCUGUUUAGAGAAUAAACGACAUUCAUAUAGAAUAAGCACCUGCUUAUUCUUUUAAUUUUUUAAGCUUUUAAUUUUUCAAAGAUCGAUUCAGCAAAGAUCGAUUCUUUGGUACCGAUUAAAUCAGUUGAUCGAUCCCUACCCUGUUUGGAAAAUCAAUUCGUCAAGAUCGAUCUUUUUGAAAAGAUCGCCCAAUCCUAUUAUAAACAUACAAAGCAUUUAUUUUCAUGAAAAUACAGCUAAGAUCAUUAUUAAAUUUCCUCCCUUAGAGGUUUUUACCCUUACCUCAAAGUAAUUGGAUAAAAACUAUCUAUCCGAAAUAUUGGCCCCUUUUAUAUAAAUUGAAUCGAACGGUUGAUUGGAUCCCUCUAAUUAUCAAACCGAGCAGAUUUUCGUAUUUUGUAAAUCGAUAGAAUCUUAUAGAGUCGAGUUCUUUAUUGAACGGCAUGUGUAGCGAAUUGCAUAUUUUGAAACGUUGCCGGAAUGUUUCCCAAUUAAAGCAUCAGGAAUGCAAAAAGCAAAACAAACAGCUCGAAAAAUUAUGCCGAUAGUUUUCACCCGACUGUAUUCGCAGUCUUCAAAGGCAAAGUAUUCACAAAACUGUUGAAAACCCGUCUAUGUUGGAAUUUCUCGUUAAACGCUUCCGUGAGCGGUUGACUGUUGAUCCAAUUUCGAUGGCACGCUUGCCAAAUUGGCCGAAAUGGCAGAUAAGAUGGUGGAUUCUUCCGGAUCACACGUAGCAGCAACUACAUUGCAAGGAGGCGAUCUGGCGUAGUGGUAGGUAACAUCCAUACCUCUCAUGCUCAAGAGUUCAAUUCUCACUCCCGAUAUUCUUCCAAAAAUGGAAGCAAAAGUGACGAACCAGCCAAAAGUGUUGAAAAUCACUAUAAUACAGGAAAAAACUGCAUUGCAAGCCCCAUCUCCGACACAGGAGGAACUCGGCGAACAAUUCGCUUCUUGAUCAUUACCGGAUCGGAUGUUUCGAUCCUACCUGCUACCAGAAGAGACAAGACUAAAUCACCGAUCCGGUUCCUACUGCACGCUGCAAAUAGUACGAACAUCCCUACUUUCGAUACACGUUUCCUGUACGUGGAUCUUGGACUUCGCAGAAGAUUUUCGUAGAACUUUCUCGUUGCAGAAGUUAGUACUGCCAUAAUUAGAUCAGAUUUCCUGUCUCAUUUCUGUGUAAUGGUAGAUCUCAAGCACCGUACCAUUAUCGAUGGAACAACAAAGCUAAAGACCACAAGCGGGGUGAUGAAAACGUCCCUUCACGAUAUUACAACAAUCAACUAUGAUAUUCCAUUUCGGCUUUUGCUUGAAGAAUUUCAAAUCAUAACACGUCCAUCACAGAAGUUCACCAUGAUGUUACGCACCAUAUUGUGACUAAAGAACCCCCGACCGCUUGUAAAGCACGUAGGAUGUCGCCAGAUAAGCUGUUACUCGCUAAACAGGAAUUUCAAACUAUUAUGGAUCUGGGCAUUUGCCGUCGCUCCAGUAGCUCACAUCCACACGUCCACGAUCUACUAAACUCAUUCCACGGGCUUACCAUCAGAUACCCAUAGAGAAAGAAGAGCCAAAAACGGUCGUUAUAACACCAUUUGCACUGUUUCAAUUUUCCAGGAUACAAUUUGGCCUGCGUACAUUCCAAAGAUUUAUGCAUAGACUAUUCGGCUAUCUCGAUUUUGUUGUCGUCUUUAUUGAUGAUAUAUGCAUAGCAUCGUCUUCUAUCGAAGAGCAUUAUCAACACAUACGAAUAGUGUUCGAUCGGCUUCGCUCAAACAGCAUGGUAAUAAACCUACCUAAAUGUAAAUUUGCGAAACCAGAAGUUGAAAUCAUCGGCUAUCUCGUUGGGAAGGAUGGUGUAAAACCGUUACCCAGCAGGGUGGCAGCUGUAUUAAAUUUUACUCGGCCAACGACGAUUAAGGACCUUCGGCGAUCUCUUGCACUUGUAAAUGGAUACAAACGGUUCGUCCGUCAAGCAACCGACAUGCAGGCAGCGCUAAGAUGUCUCAUCAUAGGUAACAAGAAGAAUGAUUCAAGAAAAAAUCACUGGACCGAACUAGCAUGAAAGCUGUAAAAAAGCACUAGCAGAAGCAACAUUACUCUACUAUCCUGAUCCAGAGAAACCUACCUAUGGACCUACUCGGAGCAAUUCUGCAGCAAAUGGUGGAUGGGACUUGGCAGCCGCUAAACUUCUAUUCGAGGAAAUUUUCAUCAAGUCAACGCAAUCAUUCUACUUUUGGACGGGAGUUGAUAGCCAUGAAAAUGGCCAGAUACUUUAGACAUCUGUUGGAGGGUCGCCAAUUUACGAUAUUCACCGAUCAUAAUCCUUUACCAUAAUUUCGAAUUCUGCUUGUCGAUUACUCCACGAAGAAUGUUGCAGUACAUUCUCAGUUUACCACCGAUAUCAAACACAUUAGUGGGAGGUACAACGUGGUUGCCGAUAGGUUGUCUAGAAUUGAUACCAUCAGCUCUCCUUCGCCGAUUGAUUAUCGAACCAUUGCACAGAGGUUACUCACAUCGACUAGUUCUUCGUUAAAUCUGAAACCUUGCAGUCGUGUUCAAAACCCCUAUACUGUGAUGUCUCUGUGAAUGGCUCCGCUUGUCCAUAUGUUCCAGAGCCACAUUAUUUUAGUCACAUUAGUCGCCUGAUUAUGAAGCACUUCCAUGACAUUGCCCAUCAUGCGAGCAACUUGUAAGGAUCUAUCAAGUAGAUUCGAAUGGCCAAAAAUUAACAAAGAUGCGACAAGUUCGUGAGGAAUUGUGUCGCAUGCCAGAAAUCAAAAGUUCUACGUCACAAAACUGCCCCACUUGCUUCGUUUGUCUUGCCUAAGUGUCGCUUCAAUCAUAUCCACAUUGAUUUAGUGGGCCCAUUUUCACCAUCUAACGGCCACGUUUAUC
Molecule: long non-coding RNA, 15475 nt
Organism: Toxorhynchites rutilus septentrionalis
Lineage: Eukaryota; Metazoa; Arthropoda; Insecta; Diptera; Culicidae
Exons: 4
Source: RefSeq, a predicted model, not a curated record